GGCAACACGAAGCUCAUUGUAGAAAGUGUGAUGCCAGAUCUUUUCCAUAUCGUCCCAGUUGCUGACAAUACCGUGCUCAAUUGGGUAUUUCAAGGUCAGAAUACCUCUUUUAGAUUGUGCUUCAUCACCUACAUAGGCAUCCUUCUGACCCAUCCCAACCAUCACACCAGUGUGUCGGGGUCUUCCAACAAUACUGGGAAACACUGCCCUGGGAGCAUCAUCACCAGCAAACCCAGCCUUCACCAUUCCAGUUCCAUUGUCACAGACAAGGGGCUGAAUAUCCUCUGCGUCGGCCAUUUUUUUUAAAAGCUGCAUAAACAUGCAAAGAAAUGAGGGCAAGAAAUAAGAAAUAUAAACAUACAGAGACACACACAAGCAUUUCAAACUUAUUUUCUAAUGCCAUCUUCAUGAACGAAAGAUAUAUUGUUAAAUUACCCAACAGUUCCAUAUUUUUUUAAUCCUCACACAUUCCAUUCAUCAAAACAUGAACUUCUCAGUCAAGUUACAAAAAGCAUUUGUAUAGUCUAAUCAUGGAUCCUAUAGUUCAGAAUUAUAUACAUUAUAAGCAGGAAUCAGGGAUGAAGAAAUACUUCACCUAUUACCAUAGAACCAGACUCAGCGGCCAUGACAAGAUAAUAGUACAGUAUCCCACAUUAAUUUUUAAUUAUUAAAUUGAAAAAUAAAAUCUUGUUACUGGGUAUAACAAUUCUUGAGAUUCGAAAUCUUUACAAUUUCAAAUCCAGAAAAGCGAUAUCUCAAGUGGAUGUCUUUAUACUCGUUUCACUGCCCCUAAGUUCCCAAUAAUGUUAUAAGCUUUUACUCUCCUUUAUUCACAAUUCAUCAAUUUCACACUUUCAGAUCAUCAGAAAAACAAAUGCAGCAGUUCAAAGCUAGAUCGAAAAGAAAAAAUGCAACAGAACAAAUUCCAAAAAUCAGAAAGGGAAAUUAAAACCAAAAUGGAAAAGCAGAUCAAAUCGUUCAAGAACAGAUCCAGAAAUGAGAAAACCAGAUCAAGCAAUUAAAUCAAGGGAUCCUAGAAUAUCAAACACUUGAUCGAGCGAAUCUAGCUCCACAUCUCUCCACCAACAAACACAAGAACCAAAUCCAUAGAUCGGCAACACAAAAUCAAAACAAAAACCAACCAAAGCAAUCGAUUUCUCAAAAGCAAAAAACGAUACCGUAAAAACCGAUAUACUCAAAAGCCAUAAACAAGAAACAAAAUAGAUCGAUGCUUACCUUAGAAUUUAGAAGCGAUCGAAGCGUAGAAGAAAGAUCGAAAAGAACCAAACCAAGCCAAUCUCAGAGACGGCCUGGGCUCUUUCUCAGGUUUUCUUUUGCACUCGGAAGAAGAGACGCAGAGAGAGAAAGCAGGCUACCCU
This 1379-nucleotide unclassified non-coding RNA is filed under the name Hevea brasiliensis (rubber tree). The record is from RNAcentral. Lineage: Eukaryota; Viridiplantae; Streptophyta; Magnoliopsida; Malpighiales; Euphorbiaceae.